RNAcentral lists this ribosomal RNA (440 nucleotides) under uncultured bacterium. RNAcentral's name for it is "partial 16S ribosomal RNA". It matches the Rfam family "Bacterial small subunit ribosomal RNA", at positions 338 to 795 of the family's 1533-position model. The record is from RNAcentral.
CCUACGGGAGGCAGCAGUGGGGAAUAUUGCACAAUGGGGGAAACCCUGAUGCAGCGACGCCGCGUGAGUGAAGAAGUAUUUCGGUACGUAAAGCUCUAUCAGCAGGGAAGAAAAUGACGGUACCUGACUAAGAAGCCCCGGCUAACUACGUGCCAGCAGCCGCGGUCAUACGUAGGGGGCAAGCGUUAUCCGGAUUUACUGGGUGUAACGGGAGCGUAGACGGCAGCGCAAGUCUGAAGUGAAAUCCCAUGGCUUAACCAUGGAACUGCUUUGGAAACGGUGCAGCUGGAGUGCAGGAGAGGUAAGCGGAAUUCCUAGUGUAGCGGUGAAAUGCGUAGAUAUUAGGAGGAACACCAGUGGCGAAGGCGGCUUACUGGACUGUAACUGACGUUGAGGCUCGAAAGCGUGGGGAGCAAACAGGAUUAGAUACCCUUGUAGUC